AAAAAAGCGUUGGUUCAAUGGGGCAGCCCAGCUAUCCAUGAUGGAUCCGGAUGGCACCGACCCGUUAUCCUUCCACUGCCAAGAGCGGGAGGUAAUCGUUGCUCUGUGAAACCAGCCUUACGCGGUUCCAUCCGCUCUAGAAAUCGUGUAGCCUAGAGCCUUCGCUCAAGCCACACAACUCAACUCCUAGCUUGGAAUGGGCAGGCCGGAAUAGAGCCACUCCAGACCCGAACAGCCAACGCUGAACCAAUGUUCCAACACCUCAAUGCCCCCACUUGGGUUACAAGCUUGCGUUACCAAGCUCGACGAUUAUUCAUCCUUGUGCUGGUAUUAUGAAGAACAGUUUUGCACUUCACUUGCCCGAUGUGGGACUGUUUAACUAGCUUAAAUUUAUGUAUGUACUUUAGAAAAAUUUAAUUAUUAUUAUCAAAGAGAGGGAUGAUUCAAAACUAUUAUAAUAAUUUAAUCGAUGAAGAGUUUUGAAAUGUUAAAUAAGCAAUUGGAUCACCAUGUUUUUGAAAUGUUAGACAGAUUUCUAGCUGCUCGACAAAUACUUCUUUGGUCUUGAAUAUUUUGUUGUAGGCAAUGGAGCGACGGUACGCGUAUGACAGGAUAGGUGGCUUCCGAGGCCGAAUACAUUCAAAGUGUUAUCAGUGGCACCAGUUUCGCAGAAACAUAUGAGGGUGCAGGACCUACUUGAUCCGGUAAGCAAGUCUUUGAGCCUCGAAGUUUUAUCUGCGUUAUUUUUGGAGGAAGAGGUGAAUCUUAUACGCACUAUGCCUACUAGUAUUUGUAUGCCGGCGGAUUGUUUCAUGAGCGGGGAUUCAGAACAUUGAAAGUUCCAACAUUUCAAUCAAUAAUUCCACUCGUUGGUGAUCAAAUUACUGAUUACCUAACAAAUGAACAAAAAAAGCAUUGGUUCAAUUUAGGCAGCCCAGCUAUCCAUGAUGGAACUGGAUGGCACCGACCUGUUAUCCUUCCACUACUAAGAGCAGGAGGUUGUCACGGUUCCCUCUGCUCUAGAAAUUGUAUAGCCCAGAGCCUUUGCUCAGGCCACACAACUCAACUCCUAGCUUGGAAUAAAGCCACUCCAGACGCAAACAACUAACUCUGAACCAAUUUUCCAACACUUCAAUGCCACCACUUGGGUUACAAGCUUGCGUUACUAAUCACGGCGAUUAUUCAUCCUUCUGCUGGUAUUAUGAAGAGCAAUUUGUGCUUCACUUUGCCGAUGUGGGACUAUUUAACUAGCUUAAAUUUAUUUAUUUAUUAUAGAAAUUUUUAUUAUUUUUAAGAGGAGGGGUAGGGUUCAAAACUAUUAUAAUAAUUUGAGCGAAGGGAAGUUUCGAACCAAUGACGCAUAGGUAAAAAUCAAAUACCCUACCCACUAAGAUAUUCAACCACAUGCUACCACCUUCAAUUUAUGAGUAUGCAUCAAGGGUCUAAUUGUAAGCUCAACUUUUGGGCAUUAUGCAAGUUCAGAUAAGCAAUUGAAUCACCAUGUUCAAGCACACAGACAGAUUUCUAGCUGCUCCACAAGUACUUGUUGGCCUUCAAUAUUUUGUUUUUCAAGAUAAAAGAUGGGAAGUAAAGUUCACAAGGACAUGCAUUGACUUGAAUCAUGAUUGAAUGGACCUGGUAAUGCAUAUCUGUGUGUCUCAUUCGGGGGAGAGACUCUCGUGUAACCGGAGAGGCAAAUAUAUACUAGACAGUUGAUACACUAUUUGAACACAUAACGAUCAUUCAUUAGAUCGAGAAAGCCACUAAGACUGUAAUGGU
This 1779-nucleotide long non-coding RNA is filed under the name Malus domestica (apple). RNAcentral's name for it is "long non-coding RNA (MDOM_LNC004262)". The record is from RNAcentral. Lineage: Eukaryota; Viridiplantae; Streptophyta; Magnoliopsida; Rosales; Rosaceae.